Long non-coding RNA from Podarcis muralis (Common wall lizard), 801 nucleotides. RefSeq lists it as uncharacterized. The record is from RefSeq and is a predicted model, not a curated record. Lineage: Eukaryota; Metazoa; Chordata; Lepidosauria; Squamata; Lacertidae.
AAUAGUCAGGCGUCCCUUUACCUAUGGGUAUGUCCAGACAAUCUGUUUAUUGAGCAUUCAUCCUGAUUCACUUGUACAAAAAGCUUACAUGCAGGUUAGAUUAUGAACAGUGGUCACCUAACUUUUGUUCAGAGUAGAUCUAUUGAAGUUAAUGGACCUAAUGUAGCUGUAUUCAUUAAUUGAAAUAGUUUACUCUGGGUAAACCUAGUCUCAAUGGCCCAACAUAACAUUUGCCAAAGAGCCGAUUGGUAAUACUCUGUUGAUUGCAAACAUAUAGAUGGCUUUUGCUCACCAUGACAAAAAGCAACUUUUUCUUUCUCCUUGCGGCGAAGCUAUAUCAGCAGCAGACGGCCUAAAUGCUGCUGAAUUUAUCCAGUGUUCUCUCCCCCAUACUUAGGAGGGCAUUGAAGGCCAUUUCCCAACCUUGCCUUUACUCACUCAUGUCUUAAGAUGUGAAGCACCUUCAGAAGAUGAAGAAGAGGCUUUGUAGGCUUCCCAUCGGCAACUGAUUAGCCACUAUGAGAACAGGAUGUUAGACUAGAUGGGCCUUUGGCCUGAUCCAGCAGGGCUUUCCUUAGGUUUUUAUGUGCUUUCUCACUAAGAGAAAAAUAAAAAGAAAACCACCAUCAGCAUUGUCUCCUGGAGUCUUCUUCUCUUCCCUUCAAUCUUUCACAUGCAGACAACUUGCUCCAAAUCCCUUUAUUCUCUCCAGUGGUGUAGUGGGAAAUUAUGAAGCACAGGAGCUCAUCAUGACAGGUCCCAGCAGCAGGGGCAUUGCUUGAUCUUUUGGAACAAAUCUGG